Molecule: unclassified non-coding RNA, 968 nt
Filed under: Bombus terrestris (buff-tailed bumblebee)
Lineage: Eukaryota; Metazoa; Arthropoda; Insecta; Hymenoptera; Apidae
Description: misc RNA ENSBTSG00005024158.1
Source: RNAcentral
GUAUAACGUUAUAUGCUAUUACGAUAUAACGUAUAACGUUAUAUACUACUAUGAGAUAACUUAUAACGUUAUAUAGUAUUACGAUAUAACGUAUAACGUUAUAUGUUAUCACGAUAUAACAUAUAACGUUAUAUACUAUUACGAUAUAACAUAUAACGUUAUAUAGUAUUACGAUAUAACGUAUAACGUUAUAUGCUAUUACGAUAUAACGUAUAACGUUAUAUGCUAUUACGAUAUAACAUAUAACGUUAUAUACUAUUACGUUAUAACGUAUAACGUUAUAUAGUAUUACGAUAUAACGUAUAACGUUAUAUGCUAUUAUGAUAUAGCUAAUAACGUUAUAUGCUAUUACGAUAUAACAUAUAACGUUAUAUACUAUUACGAUAUAACGUACAACGUUAUAUACUACUAUGAUAUAACGUAUAACGUUAUAGAGUAUUACGAUAUAGCGUAUAACGUUAUAUGCUAUUACGAUAUAACGUAUAACGUUAUAUGCUAUUACGAUAUAACGUAUAACGUUAUAUGCUAUUACGAUAUAACGUAUAACGUUAUAUACUAUUACGAUAUAACGUAUAACGUUAUAUGCUAUUACGAUAUAACAUAUAACGUUAUAUACUACUAUGAUAUAACGUAUAACGUUAUAUAGUAUUACGAUAUAACGUAUAACGUUAUAUGCUAUUACGAUAUAACGUAUAACGUUAUAUACUAUUACGAUAAAGCGUAUAACGUUACAUAGUAUUACGAUAUAACAUAUAACGUUAUAUAGUAUUACGAUAUAACGUAUAACGUUAUAUGCUAUUACGAUAUAACGUAUAACGUUAUAUACUAUUACGAUAAAGCGUAUAACGUUAUAUACUAUUACGAUAUAACAUAUAACGUUAUAUAGUAUUACGAUAUAACGUAUAACGUUAUAUAGUAUUACGAUAUAACGUAUAACGUUAUAUGCUAUUACGAUAUAACGUAUAACG